RNAcentral lists this ribosomal RNA (377 nucleotides) under uncultured bacterium. RNAcentral describes it as "bacterial SSU rRNA". It matches the Rfam family "Bacterial small subunit ribosomal RNA", at positions 521 to 896 of the family's 1533-position model. The record is from RNAcentral.
UAAUACGUAGGGGGCGAGCGUUACCCGGAAUCACUGGGCGUAAAGAGCGCGUAGGCGGUUGAGUAAGUCUCUUGUGAAAGCUCCCGGCUUAACUGGGAGAGGUCAAGGGAAACUACUCGACUAGAGGGCAGUAGAGGAAGGCGGAAUUCCCGGUGUAGCGGUGAAAUGCGUAGAUAUCGGGGGGAACACCAGUGGCGAAGGCGGCCUUCUGGGCUGUGCCUGACGCUGAGGCGCGAGAGCGUGGGGAGCAAACUGGAUUAGAUACCCAGGUAGUCCACGCCCUAAACGAUGGAUGCUAGGUAUGGGGGGUAUCGACCCCUCCCGUGCCGCAGCUAACGCGAUAAGCAUCCCGCCUGGGGACUACGGCCGCAAGGCUA